GACGAACGCUGGCGGCGUGCUUAACACAUGCAAGUCGAACGGAAAGGCCCUGCUUUUGUGGGGUGCUCGAGUGGCGAACGGGUGAGUAACACGUGAGUAACCUGCCCUUGACUUUGGGAUAACUUCAGGAAACUGGGGCUAAUACCGGAUAGGAGCUCCUGCUGCAUGGUGGGGGUUGGAAAGUUUCGGCGGUUGGGGAUGGACUCGCGGCUUAUCAGCUUGUUGGUGGGGCAGUGGCUUACCAAGGCUUUGGCGGGUAGCCGGCCUGAGAGGGUGACCGGCCACAUUGGGACUGAGAUACGGCCCAGACUCCUACGGGAGGCAGCAGUGGGGAAUAUUGCACAAUGGGCGGAAGCCUGAUGCAGCAACGCCGCGUGCGGGAUGACGGCCUUCGGGUUGUAAACCGCUUUCGCCUGUGACGAAGCGUGAGUGACGGUAAUGGGUAAAGAAGCACCGGCUAACUACGUG
RNAcentral lists this ribosomal RNA (468 nucleotides) under uncultured bacterium. Its description in RNAcentral is "partial 16S ribosomal RNA". It matches the Rfam family "Bacterial small subunit ribosomal RNA", at positions 28 to 507 of the family's 1533-position model. The record is from RNAcentral.